GAAGAAAACUUGAAUAACACUUUCUGAUUGAGAUCAAAUUCAAUUGGAUAUGCAGUUUAAGAACUUAUUUAACAUAAAGCAUAAACUGAUCUUAAGACCAAUCAUAGUGCUUGUGAAAAUUAACUCAACCUCUCAAUUGUAAAUUUAAAUUGAAAAAUGCCUAGCUUUACCUGCCACGACUCACAAUUGUCUUCUAAAGUUGUCC
RNAcentral lists this long non-coding RNA (205 nucleotides) under Trifolium pratense (red clover). Its description in RNAcentral is "long non-coding RNA (TPRA_LNC008338)". The record is from RNAcentral. Lineage: Eukaryota; Viridiplantae; Streptophyta; Magnoliopsida; Fabales; Fabaceae.